UACGGAGGGUGCGAGCGUUGUCCGGAAUCAUUGGGCGUAAAGGGCGCGUAGGCGGCGUGUCAAGUCAGGCGUGAAAGCCCCGGGCUCAACCUGGGAACCGCGCUUGAGACUGGCAUGCUCGAGUUCGGGAGAGGAUGGUGGAAUUCCCAGUGUAGAGGUGAAAUUCGUAGAUAUUGGGAAGAACACCGAUGGCGAAGGCAGCCAUCUGGACCGACACUGACGCUGAGGCGCGAAAGCGUGGGGAGCAAACAGG
Molecule: ribosomal RNA, 253 nt
Filed under: uncultured bacterium
Lineage: Bacteria
Description: partial 16S ribosomal RNA
Rfam family: Bacterial small subunit ribosomal RNA
Source: RNAcentral